RNAcentral lists this ribosomal RNA (456 nucleotides) under uncultured bacterium. Its description in RNAcentral is "bacterial SSU rRNA". It matches the Rfam family "Bacterial small subunit ribosomal RNA", at positions 28 to 507 of the family's 1533-position model. The record is from RNAcentral.
GACGAACGCUGGCGGCGUGCUUAACACAUGCAAGUCGAACGGGAGUAUUGAAGAAGCUUGCUUUAGAGAUACUUUAGUGGCGGACGGGUGAGUAACGCGUGAGGAGCUGUCCUAUGCAGGGGGACAAUAGCUGGAAACGGCUGCUAAUACCCCAUAAGCCGAGAGGUAAAAGGAUCAAUCCGGCAGAGGAGGUACUCGCGUCCUAUCAGCUAGUAGGUGAGGUAACGGCUCACCUAGGCGAAGACGGGUAGCCGGCCUGAGAGGGCGAACGGCCACACUGGAACUGAGAUACGGUCCAGACUCCUACGGGAGGCAGCAGUGGGGAAUAUUGGGCAAUGGGGGAAACCCUGACCCAGCGACGCCGCGUGGGUGAAGAAAUCCUUCGGGAUGUAAAGCCCUGUUGUAUGGGAAGAGCGGAAGACGGUACCAUACGAGGAAGCCCCGGCAAACUACGUG